GAAGGUGUAUGCCGCCCUGGGGGCCCUGGGCACACUGCAUCGCCACCACCUGGUCACAGAGGUGUCUGAGCCGUGGAGCGAACUGUCUUGGCUGUUUCCCUACAAGAUGCCUCCUAUGACUGCAGUGGAAUGAAGGGCGCACGCGUUCUAGCAUUUCACAGACCCGUGUCUCGCCUCCUCUGCUCGCACCUGCAUCCCCAGCCCUGUACGGAUGUCUGUUCUGUGCAGGCUGUCCUGCUCACCACCAACUUCAAGAUGGACAAAGAACAAAAGUGACCUGCCUCACAUCCCUUUUGGAAGGACGCACACUUCCAGAUCCUGUUUGACAAAUUCAGGCCAAGGGCAGGUGCUCUCGACAGAGAGAUUGCUUCCUCCUCCGAACUGCAUCUUUCACAGUCAUCAGCCGAGCCAGGUGGUCCCAGCCGGGCCAGGGAGCCGCACCGAUGCAAAGCCCCCGCCUCCUGAAUCCUCAAGCAGCAUCGGCAAAACACAGAACCUGAAGCGAUGGCCGGGGUGGUGCAGAGUUGAAAAUGUUUCCGUAUCGGUCGUGUUACGGAUGCGGAGAGCAAGGUGGGGGCUGAAGGGAGGGAGAAGACAGGCCUAAUCCGGAAAAGGUGGGCUCUGGGCAUUGCCCUCCCCUCCUGGCUCAUGUCAUCUCCCCUGAGCUGGAUGCCAAGCUGGCACACACGUUUUCAGAGAUAACGGGAUGCUUGAAGGCUUCAGAAUGAAAAUGACAGUCUUCAACUGCACACUUGGUGGCAGAGGCUGCCUGCGUCUGCUCUCGGCCAGAUGCCCUCCCAACCAGGAGCCUCCCCUGGGCAGCUCUCACCUCGCCCACGACGUCUCAGAAGCCAGCAGGCUCGGGUUUGCGGCUGUGCCUGUACAGGGAUUCUUCUCUGGAAGGCCUUCUGGCUUAAGAUGACUCCCCUCAAAAGGAGCAGUUGCUGAAGCCUUUGAAAGACAAUGGUCCACACCCCUUAAUCAGCAUCCCUUAAUUCAAGAGAGCUUGAAAUUAAAAUAUUUACACAUGUUAUU
RNAcentral lists this long non-coding RNA (1035 nucleotides) under Sus scrofa (pig). RNAcentral's name for it is "lncRNA (ENSSSCG00040052252.1)". The record is from RNAcentral. Lineage: Eukaryota; Metazoa; Chordata; Mammalia; Artiodactyla; Suidae.